Molecule: long non-coding RNA, 322 nt
Organism: Tyto alba (common barn owl)
Lineage: Eukaryota; Metazoa; Chordata; Aves; Strigiformes; Tytonidae
Exons: 3
Source: RefSeq, a predicted model, not a curated record
UAUCAGUGCUGGGUCAUUUGCAGAGCUAGCAAGGAUUUUCUCUCGCCCACAGGUCACCGAGCAAAGUUGUUUUGUGUCCAUGCAUCAGAGCUCCCAUCCUGGGACAUAAUAAGGGGAGGAUUUGUAGGCAUUGGCCCCUAGACGAUCUCAUGAAGCGGCGAUUCCAAAUGAGGAUAACGCAAAACGCCGUGCUCAUGCUUUGGAAGGAAACAGCGGCUUUGCUUUUAUAUUUGCUCGGGGAAAGGCGGGAACUUAACCAAGUUGUGCUCAUGGGCUUUUCUGGCACUAUCAUUGCUUAACAUACAUAGCCUGAAUGUUUCUC